GUAGGUGGCAAGCGUUGUCCGGAAUUAUUGGGCGUAAAGCGCGCGCAGGCGGUCCUUUAAGUCUGAUGUGAAAGCCCACGGCUCAACCGUGGAGGGUCAUUGGAAACUGGGGGACUUGAGUACAGAAGAGGAAAGCGGAAUUCCAAGUGUAGCGGUGAAAUGCGUAGAGAUUUGGAGGAACACCAGUGGCGAAGGCGGCUUUCUGGUCUGUAACUGACGCUGAGGCGCGAAAGCGUGGGGAGCAAACAGGGAUUAGAUACCCUGGUAGUCCACGCCGUAAACGAUGAGUGCUAAGUGUUAGGGGGUUUCCCGCCCCUUAGUGCUGCAGCUAACGCAUUAAGCACUCCGCCUGGGGAGUACGGCCGCAGGCUG
Molecule: ribosomal RNA, 372 nt
Filed under: uncultured organism
Description: partial 16S ribosomal RNA
Rfam family: Bacterial small subunit ribosomal RNA
Source: RNAcentral